This 487-nucleotide long non-coding RNA is filed under the name Pan troglodytes (chimpanzee). Its description in RNAcentral is "long non-coding RNA NONPTRT003330". The record is from RNAcentral. Lineage: Eukaryota; Metazoa; Chordata; Mammalia; Primates; Hominidae.
CGCUGUUCUAAAGACACAUAUGUCAUAUGGUAAACGUGUCUAAACAAAGUCCUACAAAGUUUAUUUAUUUAUUUUUAAAAUAAACAUGUCUUUUGUUUUGUUUUUUUGAGACAGGGUCUCACUUUGUCACCCAGGCUGGAGUGCAGUGAUGCAGUCACAGCUCAUGGCAGCCUCACCUCCUGGCCUCAGGUGAUCCUCCUGCCUCAGCUCUCUAUUACUCCAUUUUCACACUGCUAUAAAGAACUACCUGAGGCCGGCCGGGCACGGUGGCUCACACUUGUAAUCCCAGCACUUUGGGAGGCCGAGGCGGGCGGAUCACCUGAGGUCAGGAGUUCGAGACCAGCCUGGCCAAAAUGGUGAAACCCCCGUCUCUACUUAAAAUACAAAAAUUAGCCGGGCAUGUUGGCAGGCGCCUAUAAUCCCAGCUACUCGGGAGGCUGAGGCAGGAGAAUUGCUUGAACCCGGGAGGCGGAGGUUGCAGUGAGCC